This 486-nucleotide ribosomal RNA is filed under the name Actinomycetales bacterium 'ARUP UnID 43'. Its description in RNAcentral is "bacterial SSU rRNA". It matches the Rfam family "Bacterial small subunit ribosomal RNA", at positions 27 to 506 of the family's 1533-position model. Lineage: Bacteria; Bacillati; Actinomycetota; Actinomycetes; Actinomycetales. The record is from RNAcentral.
GGACGAACGCUGGCGGCGUGCUUAACACAUGCAAGUCGAACGGGAUCCAAGCGAGCUUGCUUGUUUGGUGAGAGUGGCGAACGGGUGAGUAACACGUGAGUAACCUGCCCCCUUCUUUGGGAUAACGACCAGAAAUGGUUGCUAAUACUGAAUAUUYACGCAUGAUCGCAUGGUUGUGUGUGGAAAGGUUUUUCUGGUGGGGGAUGGGCUCGCGGCCUAUCAGCUUGUUGGUGGGGUGAUGGCCUACCAAGGCUUUGACGGGUAGCCGGCCUGAGAGGGUGACCGGUCACACUGGGACUGAGAUACGGCCCAGACUCCUACGGGAGGCAGCAGUGGGGAAUAUUGCACAAUGGGCGAAAGCCUGAUGCAGCGACGCCGCGUGAGGGAUGACGGCCUUCGGGUUGUAAACCUCUUUCAGUAAGGACGCAGGCCUAGGCUUUUGUUUGGGUUGACUUUACUUACAGAAGAAGCGCCGGCUAACUACGU